Molecule: long non-coding RNA, 467 nt
Filed under: Homo sapiens (human)
Lineage: Eukaryota; Metazoa; Chordata; Mammalia; Primates; Hominidae
Description: long non-coding RNA NONHSAT153186.1
Source: RNAcentral
CGGGUGUGAGCUGCGCCGACCGCUCUGAGGGUUCGUGGCCCACCGCUCCUUCGCGGUCCCUGCCGCCACCGUCCACGCUCAGCGUUGUAGAGAAGAUGGUGGGUCGGAACAGCGCCAUCGCCGCCGGUGUAUGCGGGGCCCUUUUCAUUGGGUACUGCAUCUACUUCGACCGCAAAAGACGAAGUGACCCCAACUUCAAGAACAGGCUUCGAGAACAAAGAAACAGAAGCUUGCCAAGGAGAGAGCUGGGCUUUCCAAGUUACCUGACCUUAAAGAUGCUGAAGCUGUUCAGAAGUUCUUCCUUGAAGAAAUACAGCUUGGUGAAGAGUUACUAGCUCAAGGUGAAUAUGAGAAGGGCGUAGACCAUCUGACAAAUGCAAUUGCUGUGUGUGGACAGCCACAGCAGUUACUGCAGGUCUUACAGCAAACUCUUCCACCACCAGUGUUCCAGAUGCUUCUGACUAAGC